AGAGCGAACGCUGGCGGCAGGCCUAACACGUGCAAGUCGAGCGCCCCGCAAGGGGAGCGGCAGACGGGAGAGUAACACGUGGGAACGUACCCUUCAGUUCGGAACAACCCAGGGAAACUUGGGCUAAUACCGGAUACGUCCGUAAGGAGAAAGAUUUAUCGCUGAAGGAUCGGCCCGCGUCUGAUUAGCUUGUUGGUGAGGUAACGGCUCACCAAGGCUACGAUCAGUAGCUGGUCUGAGAGGAUGAUCAGCCUCACUGGGACUGAGACACGGCCCAGACUCCUACGGGAGGCAGCAGUGGGGAAUAUUGGACAAUGGGCGCAAGCCUGAUCCAGCCAUGCCGCGUGGGUGAUGAAGGCCCUAGGGUUGUAAAGCCCUUUCGGCGGGGAAGAUAAUGACGGUACCGCAGAAGAAGCCCCGGCUAACUUCGCGCCAGCAGCCGC
RNAcentral lists this ribosomal RNA (443 nucleotides) under uncultured bacterium. RNAcentral's name for it is "SSU rRNA". It matches the Rfam family "Bacterial small subunit ribosomal RNA", at positions 26 to 518 of the family's 1533-position model. The record is from RNAcentral.